RNAcentral lists this transfer RNA (76 nucleotides) under Geobacter sp. Its description in RNAcentral is "tRNA-Asn". It matches the Rfam family "tRNA". Rfam says of the family: Transfer RNA (tRNA) molecules are approximately 80 nucleotides in length. Their secondary structure includes four short double-helical elements and three loops (D, anti-codon, and T loops). Lineage: Bacteria; Pseudomonadati; Thermodesulfobacteriota; Desulfuromonadia; Geobacterales; Geobacteraceae. RNAcentral also lists the same sequence under 7 other names. The record is from RNAcentral.
UCCCCUUUAGCUCAGUUGGUAGAGCAGGUGACUGUUAAUCACCUUGUCCGUGGUUCGAGUCCGCGAAGGGGAGCCA